RNAcentral lists this ribosomal RNA (200 nucleotides) under uncultured bacterium. RNAcentral describes it as "partial 16S ribosomal RNA". It matches the Rfam family "Bacterial small subunit ribosomal RNA", at positions 524 to 723 of the family's 1533-position model. The record is from RNAcentral.
UACGGAGGGUCCAAGCGUUAUCCGGAUUUAUUGGGUUUAAAGGGUACGUAGGCGGAAAUUUAAGUCAGUAGUGAAAGCCCAUCGCUCAACGAUGGAACUGCUAUUGAUACUGAUUUUCUUGAAUAUAGUUGAAGUGGGCGGAAUACGGCAUGUAGCGGUGAAAUGCAUAGAUAUGCCGUGGAACACCAAUCGCGAAGGCA